UUUCAUGGCGGGCGCAUGGGCAACCUUCGGGUUGGCCGUUGUUCCUGCGGUAUUGCUACCCCAUGUUGCCCGCCUCCCUC
Molecule: non-coding RNA, 80 nt
Filed under: Candidatus Kentrum sp. FW
Lineage: Bacteria; Pseudomonadati; Pseudomonadota; Gammaproteobacteria
Source: RNAcentral